AUUAACCGGAUUAGAUACCCUGGUAGUCCACGCCCUAAACGAUGUCUACUAGUUGUCGGGUUUUAAUUAACUUGGUAACGCAGCUAACGCGUGAAGUAGACCGCCUGGGGAGUACGGUCGCAAGAUUAAAACUCAAAGGAAUUGACGGGGACCCGCACAAGCGGUGGAUGAUGUGGAUUAAUUCGAUGCAACGCGAAAAACCUUACCUACCCUUGACAUGUACGGAAGGCCGAAGAGAUUUGGCUGUGCUCGAAAGAGAACCGUAACACAGGUGCUGCAUGGCUGUCGUCAGCUCGUGUCGUGAGAUGUUGGGUUAAGUCCCGCAACGAGCGCAACCCUUGUCAUUAGUUGCUACGAAAGGGCACUCUAAUGAGACUGCCGGUGACAAACCGGAGGAAGGUGGGGAUGACGUCAAGUCCUCAUGGCCCUUAUGGGUAGGGCUUCACACGUCAUACAAUGGUACAUACAGAGCGCCGCCAACCCGCGAGGGGGAGCUAAUCGCAGAAAGUGUAUCGUAGUCCGGAUUGUAGUCUGCAACUCGACUGCAUGAAGUUGGAAUCGCUAGUAAUCGCGGAUCAGCAUGUCGCGGUGAGUACGUUCCCGGGUCUUGUACACACCGCCCGUCACACCAUGGGAGCGGGUUUUACCAGAAGUAGGUAGCUUAACCGCAAGGAGGGCGCUUACCACGGUAGGAUUCGUGACUGGGGUGAAGUCGUAACAAGGUAACCGUA
RNAcentral lists this ribosomal RNA (731 nucleotides) under uncultured endophytic bacterium. Its description in RNAcentral is "bacterial SSU rRNA". It matches the Rfam family "Bacterial small subunit ribosomal RNA", at positions 768 to 1504 of the family's 1533-position model. The record is from RNAcentral.